GGUCCGAGCGCAGUGGUGUUUGCAACUAGCUGAUCACAACCAGUUACUGAUGUUAUUGUGCCUUCUCCACUCCCACUGCUUCUCUUACCUUUA
Unclassified non-coding RNA from Cercocebus atys (sooty mangabey), 93 nucleotides. It matches the Rfam family "Y RNA". Rfam says of the family: Y RNAs are components of the Ro ribonucleoprotein particle (Ro RNP), in association with Ro60 and La proteins. Lineage: Eukaryota; Metazoa; Chordata; Mammalia; Primates; Cercopithecidae. The record is from Ensembl.